UACAGAGGGGGCAAGCGUUGUUCGGAAUUACUGGGCGUAAAGCGUGCGUAGGUGGUGAGUUAAGUCUGUCGUGAAAGCCCCGGGCUCAACCUGGGAAUGGCGAUGGAUACUGGCUCGCUAGAGUGCGGUAGAGGAGAGUGGAAUUCCCGGUGUAGCGGUGAAAUGCGUAGAUAUCCGGAGGAAGACCGGUGGCGAAGGCGGUCUGCUGGGCAGUUUCUGACACUGAUGCGCGACAGCGUGGGGAGCAAACAGG
RNAcentral lists this ribosomal RNA (253 nucleotides) under uncultured bacterium. Its description in RNAcentral is "partial 16S ribosomal RNA". It matches the Rfam family "Bacterial small subunit ribosomal RNA", at positions 524 to 776 of the family's 1533-position model. The record is from RNAcentral.